AUGGAGGCCACUUCGUGGCACCGUUCGGGACUUUCGCUGAACAGCAGAAGCACGGCAGAAAAUAAGGAGGCCCCUCAGACCCGGAGGACGUCCAAGAUGAAAUGUGGUGCUCGUUUUACUUCAGCAGAAGAGCAGCUGGACCACGAGGCUGAUGAGGGAAGCCGAGCCCCGGACAGGAGCAGUGAUGUCCACCUCUCCACAAGAAACGGACACGCAGACACGGGCGAGAGAGAGACAGGCCGGGCGUGGCCGGGGUCACACUCCCAUCUGCCCUCGAGCAGAGAAGCCCCCGGACAAGGUGGGGAAAACGGUGCCUCCUUCCGGGUGAUCCAAAGGCUUUGCUCCACCGACGGAGAAGGCGGUGGCGGCAGGGAAGUGAGGGCUCUUUUGUACCGGGUGGAGGAAACCGAACUCACCGCCACCACCCGAGAGGGGGAAUCCCACCCAUCUGACUUUCCAGAACUGGACAGGAAAAGGGAAAUGACCGAGCCCAACCGGCCGGCUGUUCAGAUAAAUAACUUUGGCCGUCAGGGAAGUUUUGGAAGCGAAGCUGCAGGUGGGAGUCCGACGAUGAUCAACACUCUGCAGGGAACGCUGAGAAGACAGUUAACCCGGUCGGAUUCAGAGAGCAGCGUGGAGAACAGACAAGUCACCAAGCUGAUGCUGAAUUCCCCUGGCGAGGAUCACGGAGCCAGCAUCCUGAGCUGGCUUGGUUCUUCUGAGGCAUUGAAAAAUGGAGGCAGAGACGGCGCUCCGGCUGAAAGCAAGCCAGAGUUGGAAGGACCAACAGCCCGGCUUCUCGGCAACCCAGGUGAAGCAUCGAGAGAGCUCUCCGAUGGUCCCUCUCAGGCAGACGGUGUAGCAGAUGGUUGUCAGACUUUUCUGAUGGGCAGGAAGGAGAGGAUGGAGAAAGCUGGACGAGAGAAGGCGGCCGAGGGCCUGGAGGUGAAGGUGCCUGCUGUUUUGGAUCCGGAUUUGGUUUCUGGAGAGGGUUCAAGAGAGAGGGACAACCGGUCCCCCUUGAGCACGGACAGUCUUGACCCCUGCAACGACGAAGAGGGCCUCGAUCCAAGCAGCCGGGCGAGUUCCUUGCAAAGCCUGGGCCUGGAGGUGCCCCCGGCCGAUGCCCCCAGGCCCACCACGGCCAUGGUCGUCACACUUGCGAGCCCUGUGUCCGAGGCCGCGGGAAGGGUUCCCUGCCAACCUGCUGCAGCAGAAGGUCUGGGGAAAGAGAUGGAACGGGCGCCGGAAGAGCAGAGGAAAAGGACGAGGAAACAAGAGGACGAAAAGGCACUAAAAGUGGCGGACGUGAAGAAGACGUUUGAGAAGCGCAAGCCUGCAGCGGAGAAGGCUUCUUCGCCACCUGCUAGGAAAGGUGAGCCAUUAUCGCAGUGA
Molecule: long non-coding RNA, 1395 nt
Filed under: Pogona vitticeps (central bearded dragon)
Lineage: Eukaryota; Metazoa; Chordata; Lepidosauria; Squamata; Agamidae
Description: lncRNA (ENSPVIG00000018605.1)
Source: RNAcentral